This 1448-nucleotide ribosomal RNA is filed under the name Clostridioides difficile. Its description in RNAcentral is "partial 23S ribosomal RNA". It matches the Rfam family "Bacterial large subunit ribosomal RNA", at positions 683 to 2149 of the family's 2925-position model. Lineage: Bacteria; Bacillati; Bacillota; Clostridia; Peptostreptococcales; Peptostreptococcaceae. The record is from RNAcentral.
UUUAACUGAGCGUUCAGUUACUUGACGUAGACCCGAAACCGGGCGACCUACCCAUGAGCAGGAUGAAGCGAAAGUAAAAUUUCGUGGAGGUCCGAACCCACGAGCGUUGAAAAGCUCGGGGAUGACUUGUGGGUAGCGGUGAAAUUCCAAUCGAGCCCGGAGAUAGCUGGUUCUCCCCGAAAUAGCUUUAGGGCUAGCCUCAAGGUGAGAGAUACGGAGGUAGAGCACUGAAUGUCCUAGGGGGUAUUGCACCUACCGAAGACUAUCAAACUCCGAAUGCCGUCAUCUUAUACUUGGGAGUCAGACUGUGGGUGAUAAGAUUCAUAGUCGAAAGGGCAACAGCCCAGAUCGUCAGCUAAGGUCCCUAAAUGUAAGUUAAGUGGUAAAGGAUGUGGGAUUGCACAGACAACCAGGAUGUUGGCUUAGAAGCAGCCACUCAUUCAAAGAGUGCGUAAUAGCUCACUGGUCGAGUGAUCCUGCGCCGAAGAUUUCCGGGGCUAAAACUUACUACCGAAGCUACGGCAUCAGUAAUGAUGGGUAGGGGAGCUUCCCAUACGGGUUGAAGCAUGACCGUAAGGACAUGUGGACAGUAUGGGAGUGAGAAUGUUGGCAUGAGUAGCGAGAUGUGGGUGAGAAUCCCACAGGCCGUAAACCCAAGGUUUCCAGGGGAAGGUUCGUCCGCCCUGGGUUAGUCGGGACCUAAGCUGAGGCCGAAAGGCGUAGGUGAUGGACAACAGGUUGAUAUUCCUGUACUACCGAUAACCGUUUGAGAGAAGGGAUGACACAGUAGGAUAAGCUAAGCACACUGUUGGUUAUGUGUGCCCAAGCAUUGAGGCAGUCAAAGUAGGCAAAUCCGCUUUGAUAAUGCUGGGAUGUGAUGGGGAGCGAAAUUUAGUAGCGAAGUAGCUGAUUUCACACUGUCAAGAAAAGUCUCUAUCGAGGUUAAAGGUACCCGUACCGCAAACCGACACAGGUGGGUGAGGAGAGUAUCCUAAGGCCAGCGAGAGAACUGUUGUUAAGGAACUCGGCAAAAUGACCCCGUAACUUAGGGAUAAGGGGUGCCACCAUCAGGUGGCCGCAGAGAAUAGGCCCAAGCGACUGUUUACCAAAAACAUAGGUUUCUGCUAAGUCGCAAGACGAUGUAUAGGAGCUGACGCCUGCCCGGUGCUGGAAGGUUAAGGGGAUCUGUUAGAGCAAUCGAAGCAGUGAACUUAAGCCCCAGUAAACGGCGGCCGUAACUAUAACGGUCCUAAGGUAGCGAAAUUCCUUGUCGGGUAAGUUCCGACCCGCACGAAAGGCGUAACGAUUUGGGCACUGUCUCAACAACAGACUCGGUGAAAUUGUAAUUCCGGUGAAGAUGCCGGAUACCUGCGACAGGACGGAAAGACCCCAUGGAGCUUUACUGUAGCUUGACAUUGGGUCUUGGUACUACAUGUACAGGAUAGGUG